RNAcentral lists this ribosomal RNA (2902 nucleotides) under Escherichia coli. RNAcentral's name for it is "23S ribosomal RNA". It matches the Rfam family "Bacterial large subunit ribosomal RNA". Lineage: Bacteria; Pseudomonadati; Pseudomonadota; Gammaproteobacteria; Enterobacterales; Enterobacteriaceae. The record is from RNAcentral.
UUAAGCGACUAAGCGUACACGGUGGAUGCCCUGGCAGUCAGAGGCGAUGAAGGACGUGCUAAUCUGCGAUAAGCGUCGGUGAGGUGAUAUGAACCGUUAUAACCGGCGAUUUCCGAAUGGGGAAACCCAGUGUGUUUCGACACACUAUCAUUAACUGAAUCCAUAGGUUAAUGAGGCGAACCGGGGGAACUGAAACAUCUAAGUACCCCGAGGAAAAGAAAUCAACCGAGAUUCCCCCAGUAGCGGCGAGCGAACGGGGAGGAGCCCAGAGCCUGAAUCAGUGUGUGUGUUAGUGGAAGCGUCUGGAAAGGCGCGCGAUACAGGGUGACAGCCCCGUACACAAAAAUGCACAUAUUGUGAGCUCGAUGAGUAGGGCGGGACACGUGGUAUCCUGUCUGAAUAUGGGGGACCAUCCUCCAAGGCUAAAUACUCCUGACUGACCGAUAGUGAACCAGUACCGUGAGGGAAAGGCGAAAAGAACCCCGGCGAGGGGAGUGAAAAAGAACCUGAAACCGUGUACGUACAAGCAGUGGGAGCCUCUUAAUGGGGUGACUGCGUACCUUUUGUAUAAUGGGUCAGCGACUUAUAUUCUGUAGCAAGGUUAACCGAAUAGGGGAGCCGAAGGGAAACCGAGUCUUAACUGGGCGUUAAGUUGCAGGGUAUAGACCCGAAACCCGGUGAUCUAGCCAUGGGCAGGUUGAAGGUUGGGUAACACUAACUGGAGGACCGAACCGACUAAUGUUGAAAAAUUAGCGGAUGACUUGUGGCUGGGGGUGAAAGGCCAAUCAAACCGGGAGAUAGCUGGUUCUCCCCGAAAGCUAUUUAGGUAGCGCCUCGUGAAUUCAUCUCCGGGGGUAGAGCACUGUUUCGGCAAGGGGGUCAUCCCGACUUACCAACCCGAUGCAAACUGCGAAUACCGGAGAAUGUUAUCACGGGAGACACACGGCGGGUGCUAACGUCCGUCGUGAAGAGGGAAACAACCCAGACCGCCAGCUAAGGUCCCAAAGUCAUGGUUAAGUGGGAAACGAUGUGGGAAGGCCCAGACAGCCGGGGAUGUUGGCUUAGAAGCAGCCAUCAUUUAAAGAAAGCGUAAUAGCUCACUGGUCGAGUCGGCCUGCGCGGAAGAUGUAACGGGGCUAAACCAUGCACCGAAGCUGCGGCAGCGACGCUUAUGCGUUGUUGGGUAGGGGAGCGUUCUGUAAGCCUGUGAAGGUGUGCUGUGAGGCAUGCUGGAGGUAUCAGAAGUGCGAAUGCUGACAUAAGUAACGAUAAAGCGGGUGAAAAGCCCGCUCGCCGGAAGACCAAGGGUUCCUGUCCAACGUUAAUCGGGGCAGGGUGAGUCGACCCCUAAGGCGAGGCCGAAAGGCGUAGUCGAUGGGAAACAGGUUAAUAUUCCUGUACUUGGUGUUACUGCGAAGGGGGGACGGAGAAGGCUAUGUUGGCCGGGCGACGGUUGUCCCGGUUUAAGCGUGUAGGCUGGUUUUCCAGGCAAAUCCGGAAAACCAAGGCUGAGGCGUGAUGACGAGGCACUACGGUGCUGAAGCAACAAAUGCCCUGCUUCCAGGAAAAGCCUCUAAGCAUCAGGUAACAUCAAAUCGUACCCCAAACCGACACAGGUGGUCAGGUAGAGAAUACCAAGGCGCUUGAGAGAACUCGGGUGAAGGAACUAGGCAAAAUGGUGCCGUAACUUCGGGAGAAGGCACGCUGAUAUGUAGGUGAAGCGACUUGCUCGUGGAGCUGAAAUCAGUCGAAGAUACCAGCUGGCUGCAACUGUUUAUUAAAAACACAGCACUGUGCAAACACGAAAGUGGACGUAUACGGUGUGACGCCUGCCCGGUGCCGGAAGGUUAAUUGAUGGGGUUAGCGGUAACGCGAAGCUCUUGAUCGAAGCCCCGGUAAACGGCGGCCGUAACUAUAACGGUCCUAAGGUAGCGAAAUUCCUUGUCGGGUAAGUUCCGACCUGCACGAAUGGCGUAAUGAUGGCCAGGCUGUCUCCACCCGAGACUCAGUGAAAUUGAACUCGCUGUGAAGAUGCAGUGUACCCGCGGCAAGACGGAAAGACCCCGUGAACCUUUACUAUAGCUUGACACUGAACAUUGAGCCUUGAUGUGUAGGAUAGGUGGGAGGCUUUGAAGUGUGGACGCCAGUCUGCAUGGAGCCGACCUUGAAAUACCACCCUUUAAUGUUUGAUGUUCUAACGUUGGCCCGUAAUCCGGGUUGCGGACAGUGUCUGGUGGGUAGUUUGACUGGGGCGGUCUCCUCCUAAAGAGUAACGGAGGAGCACGAAGGUUGGCUAAUCCUGGUCGGACAUCAGGAGGUUAGUGCAAUGGCAUAAGCCAGCUUGACUGCGAGCGUGACGGCGCGAGCAGGUGCGAAAGCAGGUCAUAGUGAUCCGGUGGUUCUGAAUGGAAGGGCCAUCGCUCAACGGAUAAAAGGUACUCCGGGGAUAACAGGCUGAUACCGCCCAAGAGUUCAUAUCGACGGCGGUGUUUGGCACCUCGAUGUCGGCUCAUCACAUCCUGGGGCUGAAGUAGGUCCCAAGGGUAUGGCUGUUCGCCAUUUAAAGUGGUACGCGAGCUGGGUUUAGAACGUCGUGAGACAGUUCGGUCCCUAUCUGCCGUGGGCGCUGGAGAACUGAGGGGGGCUGCUCCUAGUACGAGAGGACCGGAGUGGACGCAUCACUGGUGUUCGGGUUGUCAUGCCAAUGGCACUGCCCGGUAGCUAAAUGCGGAAGAGAUAAGUGCUGAAAGCAUCUAAGCACGAAACUUGCCCCGAGAUGAGUUCUCCCUGAGACUUAGAGUCUCCUGAAGGAACGUUGAAGACGACGACGUUGAUAGGCCGGGUGUGUAAGCGCAGCGAUGCGUUGAGCUAACCGGUACUAAUGAACCGUGAGGCUUAACCU